GUAGGUGGCAAGCGUUGUCCGGAAUUAUUGGGCGUAAAGCGCGCGCAGGCGGUUCUUUAAGUCUGAUGUGAAAGCCCACGGCUCAACCGUGGAGGGUCAUUGGAAGCUGGAGAACUUGAGUACAGAAGAGGAAAGCGGAAUUCCACGUGUAGCGGUGAAAUGCGUAGAGAUGUGGAGGAACACCAGUGGCGAAGGCGGCUUUCUGGUCUGUAACUGACGCUGAGGCGCGAAAGCGUGGGGGAGCAAACAGGAUUAGAUACCCUGGUAGUCCACGCCGUAAACGAUGAGUGCUAAGUGUUAGGGGGUUUUCCGCCCCUUAGUGCUGCAGCUAACGCAUUAAGCACUCCGCCUGGGAGUACGGCCGCAAGGCUG
RNAcentral lists this ribosomal RNA (372 nucleotides) under uncultured organism. Its description in RNAcentral is "partial 16S ribosomal RNA". It matches the Rfam family "Bacterial small subunit ribosomal RNA", at positions 527 to 896 of the family's 1533-position model. The record is from RNAcentral.